CUCACUCAGUCGUCCCUCUCUAGAUCUCCCUCGCUCUCAGUCAUCCCUCUCUCGCUCUCUCUCUGAUCUUAUCCCUCCGCCAACUUUGAUCUGAUCUCUGUCUGAUCUGAUCCCUCGGCCAACUUAGGGUGUAAGAAGUGGGAGAUGGAUCUGAAGCUCUAGUUAAUUUCCUCACGCAGCAUUGUUCGUUCAUCACCGAUAGAAGGUUAAAUUGAAAGCCUACAUGACCUAGGAUAGAUAUCCUCCUUUCGCUGGUUUAGUUUAAUACUAAAAUUGCUUUAGUAUUCAUUUUAUUAUUGUGUUCGCUUGUUAUCAGUCAUUUCUUUCGCUUGCUCGCUUACCCAGAAUGGCCUUCUACUCGCAACACUGAUUCGAUUAAGCCCUCUUUUUCAUAGUUUUGAUGGGAAAUUCUUCUCCCCCAAUCCAUUGUUUACCCCCUCCCAGCAAUCGUUGUAUCUAGAAAUGGUUUAUCUGGGACAACGCCAGUUGGUUUGGGCAUACCUGUUUGCCCAUUUUUUUUUCUUUGUGGUUUUAGGGAACUGACAAUAACUAGUUGCCCCUGUUCUGAAAACCACUGAUUCUAGCAGCGUCUGCUUCAUGUACAUGGGGUUUUGUGAUCUAGAUCUGCUAUAUUUGGAUUUUUGUAGAUUAAAGCACUUUUCUCCACCCUAUUUUGCAGAACGAAGACUGAUUCCAAGCCUAAUCUGUGAGGACCAUAAUGGAGAUCUAGAAAUUGGUUUUCAUGGUUUUUUUCCUCAAAAGUAGCUGAAACGGGUUUCAACUUUAUACUGCACCUGUUUAGUGCCUCUUCUCAAAGUUCAUGUUGGCUCUGUUACGACUUAUUUCAUAUUGCUGAUUGGGAGAAUGGAAAGGCUUCCCUUUUCUUGAGUAGGAGCCUACAGGGAGUUCUCAAUAUCUUUUGCCUGUGUGCAGAGGAGGUUCAAAUGCUCUGUCUUCACAAGACUUUAUUGAGAUAUUGACCAGAAGACUGUUAGAUCAUGGUUUGAUGAGUAUACAAUCUGUAGCAACACUACAUUUGUUCUAUUGAGAUUGAAUAGGUUCCAGGAAGGGAGACUACUACCGGUACCUAGCUGAAUUUAAAACUGGGGUUGAUCGUAAGGAGGCUGCAGAUCAGUCACUCAAGUCUUACCAGGCUGCCACUAAUAUUUGCUGCAACAGAUCUGCCACCAACUCAUCCAAUUAGGCUUGGCCUGGCCUUGAACUUGUCUUUUACUAUGAGAUAUUGAAUUCCCCUGAGAGCAUUGGAGCUAAAAAGGUAUAGAACGAGGCUACACAGUUCAGGGAGUUCUGCAAGGCAGGAAAUGCUGAAGGGUUUUCUUCUUCUUCUUCUUCUUUCUAAUUCUCAAGUUUCAUAAAACAUGCAUGUUAUUGGUGAACUGAAGACACAGUUAGACGGCUGAAAUAGAAUAGGUUCUUAUUGGGUUCAA
Long non-coding RNA from Nelumbo nucifera (sacred lotus), 1448 nucleotides. RefSeq lists it as uncharacterized. Lineage: Eukaryota; Viridiplantae; Streptophyta; Magnoliopsida; Proteales; Nelumbonaceae. The record is from RefSeq and is a predicted model, not a curated record.